UGGCUCCUGAAUCUUCAAUUGAUUACCUGAACAGAUGUCAAACUUAGAAAAAACUUGUGCACCCUGUAACUAGUCAAACAAAUCAUCAAUAUGGGGCAAAGGAUAACAGUUCUUCACUAAAACUUUGUUAAACUGGUAAUAAUAAAUGCACAUACACAUAGAACCAUCCUUUUUCUUCACAAACAAGACAUUAGCACCCCAAGUUGAUACACUGGCCGAAUAAAACCAUUAUCAAUCAAUUGCUGUAAUUGAUGUUUCAAAUCCUUCAACUUAGGUGAGGCCAUACGAUACCGAGGAAUAGAAAUGAGCUUAGUGAAAAGUAAUAGAUCAAUUCCAAAAUCAAUAUCUCUAUCGGGCGGCAUGCCCGGAAGAUCAGCUAGAAACAAGUCAGAAAAAUCCUGUAAUACUAGGACUGAAUCAACUGUAGGGGUAUCAAUACUGACAUCUCUCACAUAAGCUAGAUACGCAUCAUACCCCUUCUCAACCAUAUGCUUAUCCUUAAGGAAUGAAAUAACUCUACAGGAAGUAUGAUCUAAGGUACCCCUCCACUCUACUCGCGGUACAGCUGACAUAGCCAGCGUCAUGGUUUUGGAAUGACAAUAAAGAAUAGCAUAGUGGGGCAACAACCAGUCCAAAAUAACAUCAGAAUCUACCAUGUUGAACAAUAAUAAAUCAGCUCUAGUCUCUAAACCACUAAGAGCAAUCACACAUGAGCAAUAAAUGGUGUCCAUAAUAAGAGAAUGUCCCACAUGAGUAGAAACAAAAACAUGGGAACUCAAUGAAUCUUUAGAUACACCUAAAUGUGGGGCAAAAUAUCAUGACCCCUUUUCCAUAAUAGGUCAUGAUUGCUCCCGACACCAUUGUCAGGCUAGCCAAUGCGGAAAUUAAUUAAGUUCUCAUUUUACUUUUACCAAAAAUAAGUAUAACCGAUUCUAAAAUUAAUGUUAAAUCCAAAAGCAAUCAAUAAUGUAUCAAAAUGAUUAUACAACCCAAAAAUAAAUGUCUAUUAUUGUGUGUGUCAAGACCUGGUAUCACAGUAAUAGGCAACUAGUAAAAUGUACAAAUGAAUAACUCUAUCCUACUGUCGGAGAUAGAAUAGACAACAAAAGUAAGAAAAGACUCCAUCUGGCUAAUGAACAGCACAGGAAGGGAGCAGCUCACCGGGGAAGUCCCGGUCUAUCAAUCAGGGGCGCGCACCAGGCUGAUAGCCAGAUGUACCUUCCUUAGAUCAUGUACAAUUAAGUGCAGAAGUGAAGUAUGAGUAUAUAAACAAUAUGUACCAGUAAGUAUCCCGUCUAAUCUCAAAGAAGUUGAGACGAGAGGUAAGUAUGAGUAUAUAAACAAUAUGUACCCAGUAAGUAUCCCGUCUAAUCUCGAAGAAGUUGAGACGAGAGGUAAGUAUGAGUAUAUAAACAACAUGUACCUAGUAAGUAUCCCGUCUAAUCUCGAAGAAGUUGAGACAAGAAGUCGACUUGAUACUUACUAGGUCAAAUAAUAUUAUAAAGGACUAUGCUAAGCAUGGGGAUCACCAAUAAUCAACAGUUUAUAACAAGAAGUAAAAAUCAUGUUCUUAACAAUAUUUCAGUUAGCCAUUUGCAUUUCAAAAUACUUAGCAAAACAAUUCAUUUAUAAGAUUUCACAUAGAUAUCAUGCCCACAUUAUGCCGAGGUCGACAGACCGAUCCAACAGAAAAUAAACUGUACACUGCCAGAGGGUCGAAUGGCGCGAACCAUAGAUGCAUAUAUUUAUACCGAGGUGAUCGGCCCUGUCCGCAAAUAUAAAGAAAUAUCAAGAGUACACACGAAGGCUCAUUUAUAUUUAAAUAAAUUCAUACAAGGGUUAAACAAGUAUACAUGCUCACCUCUAUUCCUUCCCAAGUCUCUAGCAUAUCCUAAGUGAUCAUAUUAGCAAGAAAAUAUAGAGAUAGUUGCCAAAUAAGGCAUGAUGUGGGUCCUAGACUACCCGAACAAUUAACAUCAUAGUAGCUACGCACGGACUCUCGCCACCUAGUGCGUACGUAGCCCCCACAUUUAGUAGCAAUUACUCAAUUAUUAUAUCUAUGGGAUAAUUCCCUCUUACAAUAUUAGAAAGGAGACUCACCUCUCUCCAAAGUGCACUUCCAAAUACCAAGAACAAGUCCAAGCCCUUAAUUCGGAUUCGAACGAUCCCAAACUAGUUAAAUGAAGUAAAAACUAGUUAAUAUAGGUUCACAAGAUCAAAUUUUAUCUAUUUAAGCAAUUUCCCAACCAUUAACACAACUUUCCUAAGUUUCGACCCGGGCCCACGUGCUCGGAUUCUGAGAUUUUUCGAAGGAAGUUGUUCUCUACAACCUAAGGAUCAAAUAAUAUAUGAUUUUCAAUUCAUUUCAUAACUAAUUUCAAGGUUAAAUAUAAGUUUUAUUAAAACCCUAGGUUUUUGCUCUAACCCAAUGAUUUCACCUUAAACUAUUGUUUAAUCUACCUAAGGCAAUGAUAUAAAACUAGAAAAAGGUAGCACAUACUUAUCUCAAGAUGCUAGGUGAAGUCCUUCUCUCAAAAGCUCCCAAAUAUCCCAAUGGAGGAGUGGAAAUGUGAUAAAAUGACUUAGAACCCGUAUUAAAUGAACCUCACUGCCUAGCGAUUUCUGCAUCUGCAAUCAAGGAACCGCAUCUGCGAGAGAUUGGCCGUACCUACAAAAAUGGGCCAAAGAUUUGGGACCGUACCCACAGAAUCGCUUCUGCGGCUUGGGAGCCGCUUCUGUGGUUCCUGGCUUGGCUUGUCCUGGGCCACUUCUGCGAUGGCACGACCGCAUCUGUGGUCUCGCACCUGCUGUCGACCAACCGCAGGUGCGGUUAAGACAGAGGCAACAAGCUUCAGCUCUUUCUAAAAAUUUCCACUUCACUCAAGCCUCGUCCGAUUGACGCUCGGGACUCCCAGGCCCGGCCCAAACAUACCAACAACUCUAAAAACACGAGACAGACCUACUCGAAUCUUCGAAUCACCCGAAACAACUCUAAAUCAAGGAAUCACCCCCUAAAACCAAAUGAAUCAAACUUAUGAACUUCAAGUUCUUAAUUUUCGUCUAAUGGCCCAAAACGCCCUUAAACUACUCGGAUUGAUACCAAAUUAUACGAACAAGUCUUAAAUGAUAUUUCAGACUUGUACCGUGCUUCAGAACCAACAUACGAGCCCCAUACCCAUGAAAUCAAUCAUUACAUAGUUUUUUUAAAUGCUUAAAACUUUAAAUUAAUAAUUUCUAAUAAAAAUUCAUUACUCCGGCUAGGAACCUUGGAAUUCAAUUCGGGACAUACGCACAGGUCUCAUAUUUUUUCACAAACACUCUAGGAUCUUCAAAUUAUGAACAGGGGUCAGUUUUCUCAAAAUUUUGACCAAAGUCAAACUUAGUCUUUUUAGAGAACCAUAGGGAAUCAAAUGAGCAUAUUUCACUCAAAACCCUUCGAAUUCCCGAAGCAACCACCCCUUCAAGUCGUAAUUUAGCUAAAGCAAGAAUGGAAAGUUUUAUUUAGGGGUACAAAGUUCUAAAAGGCUAAACAACUAGGCGGGUAGUUACAUUCUCCACCUCUUAAACAGACGUUCAUCCUCAAAUGGACAUUGAAAAGUACCUGAUCUACUGAAUAAAGUGGGAUAUCUGCUCCGCAUGUCCUCAUCGGAUUCCCAGGUCGCCUCCUUGACGGGUCGGCCCCUCCACUAGACCUUUACCGCAAAAAUCCUCUUGGAUCUCAACUGACGGUCCUGUCUAUCAGUAAUGGAAAUUGGAUCCUCCUCAUAGCCCAAGCUUUCAUUCAACUGAAUAGUACUGAAGUCUAACACAUGGGACAAGUCGGAGUGAUACUUCCGAAGCAUUGAUACAUGGAAAACUGGAUGAACUCCCGAUAAUCUUGGGGGUAGGCAAGCUCAUAGGCAACCUCCCCAACUCUCCUCAACACCUCAAAGGGACCAAUAAACCUUGCGCUCAACUUGCCCUUCAUCUCGAACCUCAUAAUGCGUUUCAUUGGCGAGACUUUCAAGAGAACCUUCUCACCCACCAUAAUUGAUACAUCACAUGCCUUCUGAUUCGCGUAACUCUUCUGUUUGGACUGAGUUGUUCGAAGCCUCUCCUAAUACAAUUUCACCUUAUCCCAGGCAUCCUGUACCAAGUCUGCACUGAUAAGUUGGUAUUUUACCAACUUAUCUUAUCUUUAAACCUAUAUUUUUGCUAUGUUCGAGUGAUAAAAUUGUGUGUCUAAUGUCAUUUACUUCUAUUUUAUAGGUCGUAUGUGAUUUAGAACUAAUGGUGAAGAAACCAAGUGAAAACAAGUCAAAAAGGAGCUAAAAUGGACAAAGUGGAGCCUGCUACUGAUUUGCUCUUCGCGAACGCGAAGAAGCAGGAAAGCAAAACCUUCACGAAUGCAAAGUACCAAACGUGAACGCGAUGUAACAGAUACCAAAACUUCGCGAACGUGAAGGAACAAAUGCGAACGCGAUGUAUCAAAAAUCAAACCUUUACGUACACGAAUGACCAAAUGCGAACAUGAUGACUCAGACAAGCAAACCUUCACGAAUGCGUAGGUGUUACCGCGAAUGUGAUGAAGAAACUGGGCAGUUCUGGAAUUCCAUAUUUUUAUCCUAAUCCUUUUAAUACCCAAAUCAGCUCAUUUGUAAGAUAUCUUUGGCUUAAUUUCAGUUCAUAUACUAGAGAGAACAAGUUUUAAAGCUAGGAUUUUGCACAACACAUUUGGGUCUUGAAGAUUUGAAGCUUGUGGUUAAGAAUUUCUUAUCCAUUUAUGUUUAUUUAUCCAUUUCCAUUCUUUGUAUUGAAUAUUUAAGCGUGUAGUAUUUUAUUCAACAGUUGAAUCUUGUUUAUUGAAAUAUUCAAGUUUAAAGUAUGUAUUAAAUACCUUGUUGUGCUUAUGUAUUGAAUGAUUUUUAUCCUUUUAUGAAGUGAGUUAUUGUUACUUUAAUUAUUCUUGUUCUUUAAUGUUUCCAAAGGGAUUAACUAACCCGAGGACUCGCCGUUAGCUCUGAAUUAUUUUGAAAAAGAUAAUUUGGUGUUGGAAAAGAUUAAUUAACAAGAACUUGAGGCGUUAAUCCUUAUUUUACCUUGGGAUAGGAUUGAACUACUUGUAGCCAUAUUCCCGAUGUGAUUUAUAUAUUAAUUGUUUAAGGAAUAAUUCAAUUAGGAAGUCUUGUUAGUCUUCAGAAAAAGCUAACUAAGAAUUAUUAUCCGUGGCUAAUUAACAUAGACUCGCUUACAUUUGUAAAAUCAUGAAAUACAUUGGAUCGUUACUUGAGUGUAAUUACCGAUGCAUUCAUACUUGUAGCCAUUGAUCAAUUUACUUGCUUUCUAAGUUAGUUUAUAUUUUCCCAUAUAGAUAUAAAACACUUUUCAAAUGAAAUUCUUAUUUUCACACUUCCUUUUUCGCUACACCCGCAAGGUCUUAAAGUAGUUUUUCUAAUUAAAGGGCAAUCGGAACGAGAUUUGGUUAUUAUUUAUUCGGAGUCGCCACUUGGGAGAUUAAUGGUGUCCCAAGCCACCAAUUGAAUCCCGAACCCAGGAAAAUAUUGACUCCAUAUUACAGUCUGCGAACCAGAAAUCCGGAUAAGGACUUCUGUUAACCCGGGAGAAGGUGUUAGGCAUUUCCGGGUUACAUGGUUCUAGCACUGUCCCUUAACUGUUGUAUUUGAUUUUAUCUGAUUUGGUUACAUGAAGAUCCUAUGUGCCACUUUUACUUUUUAGCCGCUUUUAUUCAAUAUGUUUUUAUUUAAAAGAAAGUGAACGUCGUUUAAAGCGUGCCUUUGGAUCGCGUCAUAUGAAAUGGAUCCACAAUCCUAAGCACACUCUAUUCAACGUUUUGAGAUUUGAUUUGGGUCGCAUGAAAUGCACAACCGAGUUUAGAAAGGUAAUAUUAUUAGAAUCACGUCUAAAAGAGUCUAACACAUUAUUAUCUUUUGGGAGGGCCUUGAAAUUCGUCAAACAGUCCUUCCCGAUUUUCUAAAUAUUUUUAAACCUUUUUUGAGGGCCCCACAAUUUUGUAUUUCAUUGGGCGAGGCUCGUCUCGUCUCAUUUUAUUAUUUUUAAAAGGAUAAUCCUAAAAGUAACUAUAUUUCUAGUUUUGUUUUUGUCUCGAAAAGAAGAGAAAAUAUCCUAAUUGAUGAUUAUUAGAAUUCGGGUUUCAAGUUCAAGUCCGGGUCCAAACAAAAGGGAAUAUCUUUUUGCUCGAGCCCGCUACCUAACUUGAAACCCAAAUCUACGUUAUUGCCUAAGUCUUAUAAAUGAAUUCUUUUGGACUCAAGCCCAAUUGUUGGCCCAAUGCACCACAGGGGAUCGAUUCCCUGCAGCAAUAUCAUGUAGCAUCCCAAUGGCCUUAUUUACCCCGAUGCCAACUAAAGGGUUUUGUGUAAUUUUACCAUACUUCAUUCCUAGACCAUACAAAUCACCCUUUGUUUAUUUUUCUAAUUUUUCCUACCAAUGAACUCCCAAUCUUAUCAAAAUGGCGACUAAAUUGGAAAUAAGAACGUAGUUUUAGCAACAAGAACAAGAUUAAGCGCGUGAUUUUCUGCACCUUCUGCACGAACCAAAUUAAUGACCUCAAACCUUGAGUAUACUAACUAUUUGAAACUAAUUCUAUUAAUGUUAUUGUACCAAUUCUCAGUUAGUUUCUGAUUUAAAUAAAAUUGAACUAUUGAAAUUAUCACUGAAACAUGUAUGAGUUUUUAAUCACUGAAAAUUGAAACUACAGCACACUAUACCAUGUUAUACUAGUAUGCCAACUACUAAACCUGUUUCAAUGUUCAAUGACUUUCUACUUCUAACAAUGUGCUGCCAUGGAUUAUUAUUAGAAGAACAGUUUUAGUAACCCACACAGUCUCUGAAUAAAAAAAUACUUAGAAAACAGUCCUGGUUUGAAUAUGACAACAACUAAUUCAAAACAUAACAAAAUGAUUAAAACGCAGCUUCUCAGCAAGUAUUUCGCAUCAAUUUCAUUUCAUACUCCCACAAGUAAAUAUACAUCGAAUUGAAUUUAGUUGUGUACCUGGGACAUAAACAACAAGAGAAGAAUGGUCAGUAGAAGUGACGAGCAAUAGUUGAAUCACAGCCACAAUGAAUUCAACCACCCAGUGAAGUCUCCAAAUCAAACAAGAGAAAAAAUUUAACCACAGUCAAUUCACAUAGGCUCAAAUGAGUUUGAGAAAGGAUCCAGUUAUACUCUAUGACCCUGAGCAAUCAGAAGCAAACACCUAAAUUUGACUAAAACCUCAAAUUUGACUCGAAAAUCAACCAAACUCAUUCGAAGUUGAACUCCGUGAGCUUCUGAACCUUAAGAAAUUAGAUAUUGAGCCAGAAAUUACAAACCAAACACCCAUACUUGAAAUUAAACUGAAAUUUCCAGGGAACAAUAAUUUUUCUUUGUUUUUCCAAUUGCUUUUGGUUUUUCUACUUGAAGAAAGCUAAGACAUAAGGGAAUUUCAGAAAUUUCAGAUCUGGAAGUUUGGGGUGUAUUUUUAGGGGGAAUUUUAGGCUGCCAAACUUGUCUGUUAAGGCUCUAAUGAUG
RNAcentral lists this long non-coding RNA (7531 nucleotides) under Nicotiana benthamiana. Its description in RNAcentral is "long non-coding RNA (NBEN_LNC011411)". The record is from RNAcentral. Lineage: Eukaryota; Viridiplantae; Streptophyta; Magnoliopsida; Solanales; Solanaceae.